RNAcentral lists this ribosomal RNA (427 nucleotides) under uncultured bacterium. RNAcentral's name for it is "bacterial SSU rRNA". It matches the Rfam family "Bacterial small subunit ribosomal RNA", at positions 355 to 774 of the family's 1533-position model. The record is from RNAcentral.
UGGGGAAUUUUGGACAAUGGACGCAAGUCUGAUCCAGCCAUGCCGCGUGCGGGAAGAAGGCCUUCGGGUUGUAAACCGCUUUUGUCAGGGAAGAAACGAGUUUCUCUAAUACAGAGACUUAAUGACGGUACCUGAAGAAUAAGCACCGGCUAACUACGUGCCAGCAGCCGCGGUAAUACGAAGGGUGCAAGCGUUACUCGGAAUUACUGGGCGUAAAGCGUGCGUAGGUGGUUGUUUAAGUCUGUCGUGAAAGCCCUGGGCUCAACCUGGGAAUUGCGAUGGAAACUGGGCGACUAGAGUGUGGCAGAGGAUAGUGGAAUUCCGCGUGUAGUAGUGAAAUGCGUAGAUAUGCGGAGGAACACCGAUGGCGAAGGCAAUCCCCUGGGCCUGCACUGACGCUCAUGCACGAAAGCGUGGGGAGCAAACA